This 238-nucleotide ribosomal RNA is filed under the name uncultured bacterium. RNAcentral's name for it is "partial 16S ribosomal RNA". It matches the Rfam family "Bacterial small subunit ribosomal RNA", at positions 15 to 236 of the family's 1533-position model. The record is from RNAcentral.
GAUCCUGGCUCAGGAUGAACGCUGGCGGCGUGCCUAACACAUGCAAAUCGAACGAGGUAAAUAAGAGGAAGUUUUCGGAUGGAAUCGUAUUUACCGAGUGGCGGACGGGUGAGUAACGCGUGGAUAACCUGCCUCAUACAGGGGGAUAACAGUUAGAAAUGACUGCUAAUACCGCAUAAGCGCACAGUACCGCAUGGUACGGUGUAGAAAACUCCGGUGGUAUGAGAUGGAUCCGCGU